RNAcentral lists this long non-coding RNA (1013 nucleotides) under Parus major (Great Tit). RNAcentral describes it as "lncRNA (ENSPMJG00000005220.1)". The record is from RNAcentral. Lineage: Eukaryota; Metazoa; Chordata; Aves; Passeriformes; Paridae.
AUUUCAUCAAAACCGGCCUUUCACCCCUUGAGGAGAGGUUUGGGUUAGCAGCAGUCUCUUCCCCUCUUAUAAUGGCAGGUGCCACUGCUGCCUUAUGGCUUCACUUCAUGGCUUGGAGUGACUUCAGAUAUGACUUCUCCAGAGGGUCCUCCCUGAACUCAAGUUACUGGAGUUUGAGAGGCCUGACAGUGCAGCUAAAUGUGGUUGAGGGAAGAACCAUUUCUUGUUUUGGCUAUGGUCUUUGCAACAACUUUCAGUUACCUGGAGAGGGGCGGAGAAGAGAAAGGUGUUUUUAAAGAUCUCAGCGGCCCGAAGAGGAAAAAUGUGCAAAAUUUCAUUAACUUGAAAGGCAGCAAGACACAGUCCCCCAGGCCAAGCUGCAAAUCUGCAAAUCAUGGUGUAAGAUCAUCAAGAAUCUUUGCACUGUUCCUGAGAAGUUAAGCUUUGCCUGCUUUUUUGAGGAGGAGGAGUUGAUACCUCCUGCUGUCUCCUCUGACCCUCCUGCUCCUCCUCUGCAGUCACAUCACAGGAGUACAAGUCCUUUCCUCCAGGGACCUUUUUCACUAUUUGUGCAGACAAAUCAUGAAAAUGAAGUGUUUGCCUUGGAGCCACCCCAGGCCCAGAGAACAGUGACCCUGCAGAGCAUCGGUGUGGGGAAGGCUCGGGACUCGGCCGCAGCCUGGAAGGAUCUGGCACACAGCACCGGGCAGUGCCUCAGUGUGGCUUGGGACUCCUCCUGCUCUCCUUGUCCACUUGCUCAGAGCACAGCAUUAACAGAAAGGAGUCAAGUUUCUGUUUGCUUUCCCACUAGAGAUGGUUUCUGGAGUUUCCAAUCUGGAAUAUUUGACAUUUCAAGGACAUCACAACAUCCUGUUUCUCUUUCUAUAACCCUAUAUGUUUUUUCUGUUUCUAAUAGCCACCCCCAUUCUCUAAAGCUGUGGGAAUUUCCUGUAUUCCUGUACAGAAGAUUUGCUAGGAGUGAAGCUCCUAAGGAGAAAAACACAAAGAGCUGA